CCUUUGCCGGCGACCGGCGCACGGGUGAGUAACACGUAUGCAACCUGCCCUCUUCAGGGGGACAACCUUCCGAAAGGGAGGCUAAUCCCGCGUAUAUCGGUUUCGGGCAUCCGAGAUCGAGGAAAGAUUCAUCGGAAGAGGAUGGGCAUGCGGCGCAUUAGCUAGACGGCGGGGUAACGGCCCACCGUGGCGACGAUGCGUAGGGGUUCUGAGAGGAAGGUCCCCCACACUGGUACUGAGACACGGCCCAAACUCCUACGGGAGGCAGCAG
RNAcentral lists this ribosomal RNA (271 nucleotides) under uncultured bacterium. RNAcentral describes it as "partial 16S ribosomal RNA". It matches the Rfam family "Bacterial small subunit ribosomal RNA", at positions 82 to 354 of the family's 1533-position model. The record is from RNAcentral.